Molecule: ribosomal RNA, 346 nt
Filed under: uncultured bacterium
Lineage: Bacteria
Description: partial 16S ribosomal RNA
Rfam family: Bacterial small subunit ribosomal RNA
Source: RNAcentral
CCUACGGGAGGCAGCAGUGAGGAAUAUUGGUCAAUGGGCGCGAGCCUGAACCAGCCAAGUAGCGUGAAGGAUGACUGCCCUACGGGGUGUAAACUUCUUUUAUAAAGGAAUAAAGUGAGGCACGUGUGCCGUUUUGUAUGUACUUUAUGAAUAAGGAUCGGCUAACUCCGUGCCAGCAGCCGCGGUAAUACGGAGGAUCCGAGCGUUAUCCGGAUUUAUUGGGUUUAAAGGGAGCGUAGAUGGGUUGUUAAGUCAGUUGGGCAAGUUUGCGGCUCAACCGUAAAAUUGCAAUUGAUACUGGCAGCCUUGAGUACAGUUGCGGUAGGCGGACUUCGUUGUGUAGCGG